Taeniopygia guttata (zebra finch) is the source of this 4452-nucleotide long non-coding RNA. NCBI's taxonomy places the organism in Eukaryota, Metazoa, Chordata, Aves, Passeriformes, Estrildidae. The record is from Ensembl.
GGAGACGUGAGGUGUCCGUGCGGACCUUUGGCAGCGUGUUCUUCCGGGAAAAAAAGCCUUCUUAUCGACCCCGGAGUGAUUCAGGAUGAGAGCACAGAUGCUUUACACCAGCAGGAGGUUCACCCACAGCCAAGGAGAACAGCAAACUCACCAGCUUUUUUCUGGGUCUCUUGGGCCUGACAUCCACAGCAUCCUUUGUCAUAUCCCAGUGGUGGAUGUCCAAACAGCUCUUUCCCUUCAGCUGCUCAUCUCUUGAGUGCUCUCAGAAGAAAAUCUUUGGUUUGCCUCACAGUUUUAUUAGGCACAUAAAUAGACCCUCAAGCAAAAGUCACCCCAAAAGGACCAGCAAAAAGGAGCCUGGGGUUUUAACACCUCCUGGCAGUCUGGACUUGCAAAUUACAUUUUCCUGCUGUACUUCUCUGCAACUCCCUCAAUUACCCAAACAGGAAACUGGAAAGUCCCACAGGCUCUUGGGUCUCUCCCUCACACUGACAACUGGCACCCAGCAUCUGUACUUUGGCUGGCUUGUUCACCAAUGUGAUCAAGAGUGAUCUGGGCAAGGAGGAAGAGCCUGCAAAUUGUCUUCAUGGGAGAAUUUUCAAUUCUGAGCUGAAAGGAAACAGGCCUGGAAAUUACAUUGGUCUUUGUGUGGUUGUUUCUCCUCAUAGCUCAGUCUUAAGGUGGGUGGCUGGAUCAUCCUUUGCUGAUUGUGCAGUAACACCUCUACUUCAGGAUUCUUUUGUGUACAAUGUGUAGAACACCUGGAAUAUUAGAUAUACCUCCAAACCAUAGGAACGACACCAAAUUGCAAAGCCAAUAUAUGAUACCAUGUACAAUGUAUUAAUGCUCUUCUAAUGGUUUUGAUAGCAGAAUACCAAAUUCUGUUAAAUGCUGCAUAUAUGAUUAAUAAAUACAAAACCAUGAAUAAACAAAGUUCAGAAUCUGUUCCUCAGCUGAGUUGAAGAAAUAUAUAUGGGAAAUGGGAAUCAAAACUAAAGAAAUGAAAAGAUUCUUCUUGUUGUAGGUUGUUGCUGGAGUACUACUUGAUACAAAGUGGUGUUAUCCUGGGGGAUUUGUAAUGAGAAAAGUCCAUUAAAGAACUCAAAGAAUUUCUCUGUGAUCAAGAUUUGGAUGUAAUUAAUUUUAAUUCAUCUACACUACAGAGAUGUGCAAUGGCAUGUGUGAACAUGUGAUGUGCAUCCCCUGCACUCCUCCUGAGGCCUCAGUGUGGUCUGAGAAAUGCUCAUUAGGCCUCGAUCUUCACAAACGGCACCUAGGCUGAGCUCCUUCUGAGUUUAUCAAAAUCAGUCUGUUCCCAGGAACUAGGACUGUCUAAUGAGCUCCUGAUUUUUAAUGAACUGCCUUGGAAACUUACUUUUCUUGCCUCGAAAACAACCCAAGCAGAAUAACAAUUUUGUUAUCAAACUUUCAAAGAACAUGCUAUCCCAGAUUUGCAGUCAAGAUGAAAAAUUAUUAUGAUUGAAGCCCAUUCUCUUGUGACUCUAUAAACAAUGGCCCAAGGUGAGACCCUUUGAGCUCUCCUGGACAGCAGAGACUGUGACCAGCACCUCCCUCUAUGUGAGGCCUCUCAGAGCCAGAGAACGCUCAAGUUUGCUAAACUUGGAAGAUCACUGAAUGAUAAUGAUGGACUUACACCCCCACUUCUCCAGACUCAACCCUUUGCCCAUUGGGAUGAUCCAAAGGCAUCAGAUGUGUGUCCUUCACCAAAUUUGAGGAGAAUUUGUCACAGGUACUCUGUGGGUGUUCUUAUACAGACCCUUUAGGUAUGUGUGCAUGAGGGUGUGAAUAUGCUAUAGCAUAUGUACAAGGAAUGCUGUUCUCCUAGAUUCUUAAGUACUUCAGGUUUGUAAGUUAGGCCAAUGAGUUGUAGUAAAUUCUAUAUGAAUCCUUAGAUAAAUUGUUUGUCAGUUAAGUGCCCUUAAGUGCUGUUAAAGCUAUAGACCUAAACUGUCAAGUCUGGGGCGCAGUUUAGCAAAGGGGUCUACUCUGAAACUUGUGAUGCAAUGGGAGGGUCUUCCUUAUUCUUGUUUGUCCUUACCCCUUUCCUAUCCUUAUCCCCAGCCUCCACAGAGUUAAGUUUUGAGUUGAUUUUGGAUUUCAAUUGACUGGUUUUGGGUUUUGAGUUUGCUCUUUUUCUGUGUGCUUUUACCAGAGCAUUAGUAGUAAGUAGUAGUAGAGGGAACCUUGUAAAUUAACUACAUCAUACUUCCUGUUUUAUAUUAAACGUGCUUUUGCCUAUGAAUUUGCUGUGAUUCUUUAAGUAACCUUAAAACGCUCAUUUGCCAGAGAACACUAAGAAAAAUAAACACGUGUACAUUUGAACCAAUGCAUUGGCACAGCAUUAGGUUUCUGUUGCUGCCAGCACAGGCUUAAGCUGUGCAUUGGCUGAGCAGCAGCACCAUCUUGUGAUACAGGUACAAAACAUUCUGUAGGGUCACACACCUGGAUGUUCACCCUGUGCUUGGCAAGUGGGGGACUCAGCUUCUGGCCUUUGCACUGGCCACUGAUCCCGACCCAGUCGUUCUGUUGAGCUACUUCAGCCUCACCCUGUUUCAUUGGCGCUUAAUUGAAACAUGGACAGCUAAUUCAGUUAUCGAUCAGCUCCCAAAGCAUCCAGGGAGCUGCUGGCAACUGGGCUUAAGGUCUGGUCAUUUUAGUUUGUUUUGGAAGCUCUACUUCUGUCAUUAUAGAUGUCCUGCUGGUAUAUUAAGUCUUACCUGAUGUACUAACUCUUAUCACUGUCAUAAUCACACCAGGAAUGGGACUAAUCUGUCUUCCUUGCUGAGGCUUAGGAGAAAUGCAGGAGAAAAGCAAGCUGUGUGUGUCAUCAAUGAGGCAAUGCCAUGGGGUUUUUGAAGUUUUUGGACUUAUGUCAUUUUAGAUGCUGAGCUAUAGGUAAAAAAACUGUCAGGCAGUCUGCUUAAUAGACUCCCCAUCUAUUAAAAAAGAGAGUGCACACACUCUCCUGUAUAUCAGUUAGUCUUGGAGCAUGCCACCAACUCUCCAUGAAUAGUAAUGAUGAUAAUAGCAAGUAAUGAAAGAAAAUCAUGUGACAAAAAGGAGGCUGUGGCUGAUGGCAGAGCAAAGGACAGAGGUCUGUGGGCUGAAUGUCACCUGUUACAAGGUAAUGAAUCUGUCUAGUUUCCAUCUGAAAUGCCUGAUGUCAUUUGCAGUUUCUUGGGAUUCUACUCCUUUCAGAUAUGAAGCCAGCUCUCAUGCUUUAUAGGCUUUUUGGCCUGACACCAGCAUCUAAGCAGAUGAAAAUAAUGAUUGCUGCCACACUCUCUGGUACUGUUAAUUUUUCAAAAGUUCAUGUUUUCUAUCACUGCUUUAAGGGAGGGUGUGAGGCUUGGUGCCAAUGCUCAAAUGUGGACCUGGAGUGCUAAACAUAGGUAUGUCGUGUUAAACCCUGACAGGUGGGGUGUCCCAGGUUACUUGUUGGGCCCCUCCAAUUCAGAAAGACAUGGAUCCUUUUGUAGACCUUGUGUCACAUCUGGCCUCCUCUGGGUGGUUUGUUUAAGCAAAGGUGUCUGAAGAGUGCCACCCCACCUGGGCGCUAUUCCUGGUCCUUAGGAUUGCUGAGGUUUCCUUGCCCUGACAUAGUUUCCAGGUCUUCACUGUUCUGUGUCCUUGUGUGGGAUGAACAGAGGAGUGCUUCCUCACCUCGUGGAAGUCGUGGGGGAAGAAGCACACUCAGAACUUCACAAACAUGCCCAGGUAUAAUAGGCAGUACACUUCCAACAGCUAUGAUAGUUAUUUCACAAUAUUAUUUCAACUUUGUGAGAUGUUUUUUGGUGGUGCUGAGGACAGACAGAGAUUCUUUUCCAAGGAGGUCAGAAUCUGUGAAAACAAAUGACAGAUGGGUGAAAAGCAUACCAAUAGAGUGAAUGAAGUACCUUGUACUCUUUUCAGUGUUAUUUAUUCAAGUAAUUUAUUCAGAUUUUUCUGUUGAUUCUUUUAUCUUUCAUACAGUGUUUAGCAUUUUAUAGAUACUUAUUAGCUAUCCUUCAAGUACUACACUGAGGCUGAUCAUGUCCAAGUUAGGAACUUGAAAACUGGCAGAGAGGUUAACUCUUCUCAAAGUCUCACAGUAAGACAAUGAAAGAUUUCCAGCAAGGUUAAAAGACAGGCUCCAACCAUGCACAGCUUUUUUGCAGAAAUUGUUUAUAUUUAUCAUGUGCUUUUACUUUCUUAAAAGUAUAUAAUUCAAGCAAUUUAACAAUGUAUGUGUUUCCCUUACAAAUCAGAAUUAUCAAAUCAGACUCUGAUCUUGCCACAGAUGCUCAGGAGCACUCCAUGCCCUGUGAGCUUUGUUAACCAUUACCUCAAAUUUUGUCUGCUUCUUCUCUUCAGCAUCCCAUGCCAGCCAGCUGCUUCAGAGUAGGAUGUUGGUUGCUCCUUAAAAUAAACUCUUCUCAGAGUGUUAUCUUG